UGGGGAAUAUUGCACAAUGGGCGAAAGCCUGAUGCAGCGACGCCGCGUGAGGGAUGACGGCCUUCGGGUUGUAAACCUCUUUCAGUAGGGACGAAGCGCAAGUGACGGUACCUGCAGAAGUAGCACCGGCUAACUACGUGCCAGCAGCCGUGGUAAUACGUAGGGUGCGAGCGUUGUCCGGAAUUACUGGGCGUUAAGAGCUCGUAGGCGGUUUGUCACGUCGUCUGUGAAAUCCUAGGGCUUAACCCUGGACGUGCAGGCGAUACGGGCUGACUUGAGUACUACAGAGGAGACUGGAAUUUCUUGUGUAGCGGUGGAAUGCACAGAUUUGAGGAAGAACACCGAUGGCGAAGGAAGGUCUCUGGGUAGUAACUGACGCUGAGGAGCGAAAGGAUGAGGAGCGAACAGG
This 409-nucleotide ribosomal RNA is filed under the name bacterium. RNAcentral describes it as "partial 16S ribosomal RNA". It matches the Rfam family "Bacterial small subunit ribosomal RNA", at positions 355 to 776 of the family's 1533-position model. The record is from RNAcentral.